UACGGAAGGUCCGGGCGUUAUCCGGAUUUAUUGGGUUUAAAGGGAGCGUAGGCCGGAGAUUAAGCGUGUUGUGAAAUGUAGACGCUCAACGUCUGCACUGCAGCGCGAACUGGUUUCCUUGAGUACGCACAAAGUGGGCGGAAUUCGUGGUGUAGCGGUGAAAUGCUUAGAUAUCACGAAGAACUCCGAUUGCGAAGGCAGCUCACUGGAGCGCAACUGACGCUGAAGCUCGAAAGUGCGGGUAUCGAACAGGAUUAGAAACCCUGGUCCGCUGACUGACU
RNAcentral lists this ribosomal RNA (281 nucleotides) under Segatella copri DSM 18205. RNAcentral's name for it is "Prevotella copri DSM 18205 partial 16S ribosomal RNA". It matches the Rfam family "Bacterial small subunit ribosomal RNA", at positions 524 to 807 of the family's 1533-position model. Lineage: Bacteria; Pseudomonadati; Bacteroidota; Bacteroidia; Bacteroidales; Prevotellaceae. The record is from RNAcentral.